AAGUCGUAACAAGGUAACCGUAGGUGAACCUGCGGUUGGAUCAUUAAUAAAAUCUAAUUGUUAGAGAGGUAAAAUUUUAUUUUGCUCUCUCUUUCAAACAUUUUGUGAACUGCUAUUGUUUUUGGUAGGGCUUAUAGGAUAAUUUCAUAUUAUCUGGAUCUAUGAGAAUAGUUUUACCUACCGCUUAAAUUUAAACAUUUAUUUAUUUAAUUACAAGUCUUCAAAUCUAAAAAAAUUUUACAAGUCUUCAAAUCUAAAAAAAUUUUGUUAUUAAAAUUUUUAAAAUUAUUUAAAAUUAUAAAACAACUUUUGACAACGGAUCUCUAGGCUCUCA
This 334-nucleotide unclassified non-coding RNA is filed under the name fungal sp. Its description in RNAcentral is "partial internal transcribed spacer region". The stretch from base 1 to 46 matches the Rfam family "Eukaryotic small subunit ribosomal RNA", at positions 1786 to 1831 of the family's 1831-position model. The record is from RNAcentral. Lineage: Eukaryota; Fungi.